RNAcentral lists this ribosomal RNA (206 nucleotides) under uncultured bacterium. Its description in RNAcentral is "partial 16S ribosomal RNA". It matches the Rfam family "Bacterial small subunit ribosomal RNA", at positions 568 to 774 of the family's 1533-position model. The record is from RNAcentral.
UACGUAGGCUGUUUAUUAAGUCAGAUGUGAAAGCCCCGGGCUUAACCUGGGAACUGCAUUUGAUACUGGUAAACUAGAGUAUGGUAGAGGGGGUAGAAUUCCUAGUGUAGCGGUGAAAUGCGUAGAUAUUAGGAGGAAUACCAGUGGCGAAGGCGGCCCCCUGGACCAAUACUGACGCUGAGGUACGAAAGCGUGGGUAGCGAACA